This 3781-nucleotide unclassified non-coding RNA is filed under the name Hevea brasiliensis (rubber tree). Lineage: Eukaryota; Viridiplantae; Streptophyta; Magnoliopsida; Malpighiales; Euphorbiaceae. The record is from RNAcentral.
GAGCAUUGAAUGAUCUGAUCUUCAUGCCCAAUUCCUCCGAUUAUAGGGUUUCCAAGCCAUGACCGACAAGCCACCGGUGCUCAAGCCGCCGCUUUCAUCCCAAGACUGGGAUUCUCUAAUCGACGACUUCCAGCACGGCGGUGCUCGCCGCCAAAAAUGGACGGCGGCCCCUCAGUUCCUCUCCUCUUUCCUUGAUCACGCGCUCUCCUUCCUCCUUAAAAAGGACUUCCCUCUCAAAAUCCCUCUCCUUAUAUUCAUGGAAGAGUUUUCGGAAACCUUUUUCACCGACGAGUCCCAUUUGCUCCGCCUCCUCGACGCUCUUCGCUCCGUCGUCCAAGCUCCUUUGGAUGGGAUCUCCGUUACUUUUCUCUUGAAAGAGCAGUUCAUGAUCUCCACCACUUCAAUUUUUAUCUCCAUUGACGCGCUCAACAAGUUCCAGGCGCGGUGCACUGAGGGUUUGGCUGAGUUGCUUCUCACUGUUAUUCAUCGCCCCAACCAUGGAGUGGACCGCCAGACGCGAGCCAUUGCCUGCGAGUGCUUGCGUGAAUUGGAGAAGAGUUACCCAUGUUUGCUCUCUGGUAUUGCUGGCCAUUUGUGGAGUUUGUGUCAAAGUGAACGAACUCAUGCUUGUCAGUCUUAUCUUUUGUUGUUCACUAUGGUUGUUUAUAAUAUCGUAAAUCGGAAGUUGAAUGUUUCUGUUUUGAAUACUUCUGUGCCUUUGGUUCCUUUUAAUGUUCCUCAAUUAAUUUCCAAUGGUAAAGAGUUUGUGGGCUUGAAUUAUAAGGAGUUGAGGAGGGCUCUGGCGUUUCUGUUGGAAACGCCUCAGGUUUUGACUCCAUUUGGGAUGAUGGAGUUCUUGCAAAUGAUAAUGCCUGUGGCUGUGGCUUUGGAGUUGCAGGGCUCUAUGUUGAAAGUUCAGUUCUUUGGGCUGAUUUAUUCAUUUGAUCCUUUGUUAUGUCAUCUUGUUUUAGUUAUGUAUUCUCAUUUUCCUGAUGCAUUUGAUGGACAAGAGGUAGAGAUUGUCAAGCGAUUGAUGCUCAUUUCCAAGGAAACACAACACUAUUUGGUUUUCCGAUUGCUUUCCCUUCAUUGGUUGUUGGAUUUAUUAAGUAAAUUGAUGUUGAGUAGAGAGGGUAAAAAAUAUAAAUCUGUUGUUGACAUGGGUUUGAGAUUCUAUCCAGCGGUAUUUGAUCCACUGGCUUUGAAAGCAUUGAAGCUUGAUUUGCUUGCUUUCUACUCGAUAUAUCUUGAAGGUUUGAAACUAGAGGGUGGUUCUGGUGAGGAUUGUGAUGCUUCCAAGUCUGUCGUCAAGCUUAUUGAAGAUGGUCUUAUUUCAGUUUCAGCUUUCAAAUGGUUAUCUCCCUGGAGCACUGAAACUGCUGUUGCAUUCCGUGCCUUUCAUAAAUUUUUGAUAGGUGCUUCAUCUCAUUCUGACACUGAUCCUUCCCCAACUAGAACCCUGAUGAACUCCGUUAUCUUCCAUACACUGCAGGGGAUGCUGGUGGGUUUGACAUUGGAUAUUCUAAGGUUGGUCCCUGUUGUUGUUUCUUUCAUUGACCGUUUAUUAAGCUGCCAAAAGCAUUGUUGGUUGGGAGAGCGCCUACUUCAGUCGGUUGACAAGUAUUUGCUUCCAAAAGUCAAAAUAGAUUACCAAUUGGUUUCUUACUUCCCAGUAUUUGAUAGAAUAGCAGAAAAUAAUUCAAUACCUCCUUCGACAUUGCUAGACCUACUUACCAAGUUUAUGGUUUUCCUUGUUGAGAAACAUGGUCCCAAUACUGGACUGAAAUCGUGGUCGCAGGGAAGUAAAGUCCUUGGCAUUUGCCGAACUAUGCUGAUGCACCAUCAUAGCUCUAGAUUGUUCCUUGGAUUAUCUCGCCUUCUUGCAUUCACUUGUCUAUACUUCCCUGAUUUGGAGGUUCGAGACAAUGCAAGGGUCUACAUGCGAAUGCUAAUCUGCAUACCAGGAAUGAAGCUUAAAGGCAUACUGAAUUUUGGGGAGCAAUUACUUGGCAUUUCACCUUCUACGCAUUCUAGUUCUUUCUUCAAUGUUCCAUCUCCUCGACAUUAUCAGAAUUUCAAGAAAUCUAGGGGCAUCUCAUCCUGCAUUCAUCUUGAGCGAAUGAUACCAUUGCUUGUUAAGCAAUGCUGGUCUUUGUCUUUGCCACCUUCGGAUAUUGGGUCUAGCAAACCUAGUCAUUUAGAGAGCAUUAUGGAUAGUGAACCUCAGGUUGAUUUAAGGGAGCUAGAUGUUAGUACAAGUUUUCUAGCAACCUCAGAAAUUGAAAGAACUAAUCAGUUGCAAGAGCCAUUACGUGUAAUGGAUUCAAAGAUUUCACAGAUCUUAGGGGUAUUAAGGAGUCACUUCUCAUGUAUUCCUGAUUUUAGGCAUAUGCCAGGGAUCAAGGUUAACAUAUCCUGCAUUCUGAGAUUUGAAUCUGAGCCUUUCAAUCACUUGUUUGGGGCUUCCUUCCUUACUAGUCCAGCAGAUGGAGUAGAUGCCCUUCCUUCCCUAUAUGCAAUUGUGCUCAAAUUUUCAUCCUCGGCACCAUAUGGGUCCAUUCCAUCUUAUCAUAUACCCUUCCUUCUUGGUGAACCCUCCAGGAACAAUCACAUCUCUUGCCCAUCAGUUUCACCCGACAUUGUUUCUGUGGAAAAUGACUUUGAAGAAGAGGAAAAUUAUAGAGCUCCUGUCACAAUUGAUUUGGAACCACGGGAACCUACACCUGGUCUUGUUGAUGCUUUCAUUGAAGCAAAUGUUGAAAAUGGCCAGAUAAUCCAUGGUCAGCUUCAAGGUAUUACAUUAGGUAUAGAGGACAUGUUUCUCAAGGCCAUUGUCCCAUCUGACAUCUCAGAACAUGCAGUAGCUGCAUAUUAUUCAGGAUUAUUUGAUGCUCUUUGGGAGGCUUGUGGACCUUCUGCUAACAUUGGGCGGGAGACAUUCCCAUUAAAAGGAGGCAAGGGUGUUGCAGCAAUCAAUGGGACCCGAUCGGUCAAGCUACUUGAAGUUCCUGCAGACUCUUUGAUUCGUGCAAUUGAACAGCAUUUGGCAUCCUUUGUUGUUCGUGUGAUUGGAGAACAUCUCGUUAACAUGGUGAAGGACAGGGGAAUCAUCAAAGACAUCAUAUGGAAGGAUGCUGCAUCAGAUUCUUUUUUUGUUAGUACUGCCUCCUCACUUACUGGUUUAGAUCAAGGUCCACUUCAUCUGACAUAUUUUAAUGAUGGAGAAGAGAGAGAAACUCAGGUAAAUGGCUAUAAAAGAAGGAUGGGUUGCAUUCUUUUGUUGAUAUUUCUUCCACCAAGGUUCCAUCUUCUUUUCCAAAUGGAAGUCUCUGAUAUUUCAACCUUGGUUCGAAUUAGAACCGAUCACUGGCCAUGCUUAGCAUAUGUUGAUGAUUAUUUGGAGGCUUUAUUUUUGACAUAGAGGUACAUCUCUUAACUUGUAUGAUUACAUCUCUUAACAUGGGGUCUCAUUCCAAACUUCCUUUUUUGUAGCUUCUGUAAAAUGAUUGGCAUUUUGUUGUAAUUCUUUCUCCAGAUUAUUUUUGCACAAAAGGAGGGUAAUUUUUUGACACCUCAAAAAUAAACUGUUGUGUAAAUACCCCCUGCAAGUGAGUCCCUCCCUUUUUGUAUUCUUUCAAUGUGUCCAAAAUCUAAGAAAUGCUUUUAAUUUUUGGCCAUCUUCAUUUUCUGUAGCAAACUUGGAAGUUUAUAGUUUAUUUGUAAAGCUAGUUCAUUGUAUUAUAUUAUUUAUGUAUUCAUUGAUUAGUCAUUAUGAUUGUUA